Molecule: small nucleolar RNA, 138 nt
Filed under: Dasypus novemcinctus (nine-banded armadillo)
Lineage: Eukaryota; Metazoa; Chordata; Mammalia; Cingulata; Dasypodidae
Source: RNAcentral
GCACUGCCUUCGAAGCUCUGCAGUGUCCGUACUAUGGCCUGAAGGGUCAGGUGGCAGUGCCAGAGCAGACACAGCUUGUUGAAGUGCAGGCCUGCUGAGAUGGCACCUAAGUGACUCCUUUAGUGGCAAGUGACAUUC